CCUACGGGUGGCAGCAGUGGGGGAUAUUGCACAAUGGGGGAAACCCUGAUGCAGCGACGCCGCGUGGGUGAAGAAGCGCCUCGGCGCGUAAAGCCCUGUCAGCAGGGAAGAAAAUGACUGUACCUGAAGAAGAAGACACGGCUAACUACGUGCCAGCAGCCGCGGUAAUACGUAGGGGGCAAGCGUUAGCCGGAUUUACUGGGGGGAAAGGGGGCGCAGACGGCGAUGCAAGACAGGGGGGAAAGCCCGGGGCCCAACCCCGGGACUGCUCUUGGAACUGGGUGGCUAGAGUGCAGGAGGGGCAGGCGGAAUUCCUGGUGUAGCGGUGAAAUGCGUAGAUAUCAGGAGGAACACCGGUGGCGAAGGCGGCCUGCUGGACUGCAACUGACGUUGAGGCCCGAAAGCGUGGGGAGCAAACAGGAUUAGAUACCCUAGUAGUC
RNAcentral lists this ribosomal RNA (440 nucleotides) under uncultured bacterium. RNAcentral describes it as "partial 16S ribosomal RNA". It matches the Rfam family "Bacterial small subunit ribosomal RNA", at positions 338 to 795 of the family's 1533-position model. The record is from RNAcentral.